UGCAAGUCGAACGGCAGCACGGGUAGCAAUCCUGGUGGCGAGUGGCGAACGGGUGAGUAAUGUAUCGGAACGUACCAUUCAGUGGGGGAUAACGUAGCGAAAGUUACGCUAAUACCGCAUAUUCUGUGCGCAGGAAAGCAGGGGAUCGCAAGACCUUGCGCUGAUUGAGCGGCCGAUAUCAGAUUAGCUAGUUGGUGAGGUAAAGGCUCACCAAGGCGACGAUCUGUAGCGGGUCUGAGAGGAUGAUCCGCCACACUGGAACUGAGACACGGUCCAGACUCCUACGGGAGGCAGCAGUGGGGAAUUUUGGACAAUGGGGGCAACCCUGAUCCAGCCAUGCCGCGUGAGUGAAGAAGGCCUUCGGGUUGUAAAGCUCUUUCGGCCGGGAAGAAAUCGUAUGGGUUAAUACCCUGUGCGGAUGACGGUACCGGCAUAAGAAGCACCGGCUAACUACGUGCCAGCAGCCGCGGUAAUACGUAGGGUGCGAGCGUUAAUCGGAAUUACUGGGCGUAAAGCGUGCGCAGGCGGUUUUGUAAGACAGGCGUGAAAUCCCCGGGCUCAACCUGGGAACU
Molecule: ribosomal RNA, 572 nt
Filed under: uncultured Dechloromonas sp.
Lineage: Bacteria; Pseudomonadati; Pseudomonadota; Betaproteobacteria; Rhodocyclales; Azonexaceae
Description: bacterial SSU rRNA
Rfam family: Bacterial small subunit ribosomal RNA
Source: RNAcentral